UUCUUCUUCUUUAUUGCCUCACUAAAUUCCCCCAAAUCUGAGAGCGCAUGCAUUGGCAGAAGUCUGAAACUGAAGACAAUGGCUUCCUCCAAAAAACCCACAGCAGAGAAAAAGAGGAAAGAAACCAAAUCCACAAAAACACCCAACAAGAAAAACAAUACCAGCACCACGAAAAACGACCCAGAAAAGAAUAACAAGACUUGCAAUGGCACCGUCAACGACAUCAUAUCGAUCCCAUCUUCCAGCAUAGAUGAAGAACAAGAGCGAAGCAAAAGCGCAAGUACAACCAAGAAAGCCGAUAGCACCGCAUCCAAGAAAGGCAAACAAAAACGACGAGAGGAAGAGGUAAACGACGUCGUUGAUGAAGAAGAAGGAGUUGGAGAGAAAGAGGUAAAUGACGCGAAGAUGCAUAGGUUUCCAAUGAAUCGUAUCAAGACUAUCGUUCGGAGCGAAGACUCCGGUUUGCGCAUAACCCAGGAGGCCCUGUAUCUCAUCAACAAAGCUACGGAUAAGUUUCUCGAGCAAUUUACAAAAGAUGCACAUGUGUGUUGUGUUCAGGACCGCAAAAAAACGCUGGGUUACAAGCACCUUUCGUUAGUCGUUUCUAAAAGGAGGAGAUACGACUUUCUUUCAGAUUUUGUCCCUGAGAAAAUAAAAGCUCAGGAUGCCUUGGCAGAGAGAAAAGUAACUGAGACAAAGGCAGGCUAGGACCUUCAAAAUGUGCUGAUUAGAAGGGUAUAAUAUAGUCAGGAAGAUGCGUUUUAGUGGGUUGCUUGUUUUGAUGGCCGGCGAGCUGGUUUGAAUUGAAUCAGAGUGCCCUAGGAUUCUUGAAUGGCCACCAUCUCAUCACUGAAAGUAUAGGCCACACAGAUAAAGAGCACCAGCUUGGUAUAGUUAGCAAUAGCCAUGAUUGUCUUUCCAGCCACAUCACUAGAAGCAUAGGCAACACCGAUUAAGAGCACCAUCUUGUUAUAGUUAGUAAUAGCCAUGAUUGUCUUCUCAGCCACACCAGACAUAUAGGCAACACAGAUUUAUGAAGCUCGCUGGGUUUUUUUUCCUUGAUUUUUGAUAGAGUAAUGUUAGAAAUUACAUUUUUAUUUCACAACAUUGAUAUGCCCGUCUCAACUAACCUUUGGAUUAAUCCUUAUUAAAAAAAGAAAAAAAAAAUUAAUUGAAGGGUCGAUUGAGAUUGUCAUACCAGCAUUAUGUGAUAGUUGUGGAAUAAUAAUGUGAUUUCUAGCAUCUAUUUUUUUGAUAUUAAAGCUUGUACUUGUAGUAGAAUGGAAGUGUAGAAGAGAGAUGUAUGGAUGAAUAAUGAAAUAGGGUUGUAUUUGUUGAA
Alnus glutinosa is the source of this 1339-nucleotide RNA transcript. It is a transcript of the gene named DNA polymerase II subunit B3-1, with no coding region annotated. NCBI's taxonomy places the organism in Eukaryota, Viridiplantae, Streptophyta, Magnoliopsida, Fagales, Betulaceae. The transcript is spliced from 6 exons. The record is from RefSeq and is a predicted model, not a curated record.